GAUGAAGAACGUAGUGAAAUGCGAUACGUAAUGUGAAUUGCAGAAUUCAGUGAAUCAUCGAAUCUUUGAACGCAUAUUGCGCUCUCUGGUAUUCCGGAGAGCAUGCUUGUUUGAGUAUCAGUAAACACCUCAACUUCCAUAUCUUUUUUGAAAUGGGAGUUGGACUUGAGUGAUCCCAACGCUUUUCCUCACCGAAAAGUGGCGGGUUACUUGAAAUGCAGGUGCAGCUGGACUUUUCUCUGAGCUAUAAGCAUAUCUAUUUAGUCUGCCUAAAAAACAGAUUAUUACCUUUGCUGCAGCUAACAUAAAGGAGAUUAGUUCUUGUGCUGACUGAUGCAGGAUUCACAAAGACGGCUUCGGCCGACUUUGUAAACUCGAUCUCAAAUCAAGUAAGACUACCCGCUGAACUUAAGCAUAUCAAUAAGCGGAGGA
RNAcentral lists this unclassified non-coding RNA (432 nucleotides) under soil metagenome. Its description in RNAcentral is "partial contains 5.8S ribosomal RNA, internal transcribed spacer 2, and large subunit ribosomal RNA". The stretch from base 1 to 120 matches the Rfam family "5.8S ribosomal RNA", at positions 35 to 154 of the family's 154-position model. The record is from RNAcentral.